This 484-nucleotide ribosomal RNA is filed under the name uncultured bacterium. Its description in RNAcentral is "bacterial SSU rRNA". It matches the Rfam family "Bacterial small subunit ribosomal RNA", at positions 27 to 507 of the family's 1533-position model. The record is from RNAcentral.
GGACGAACGCUGGCGGCGUUGCUUAACACAUGCAAGUCGAACGUAAGCUUGAUUUAUGAUUUCUUCGGAAUGAAUAAUGAUAUGACUGAGUGGCGGACGGGUGAGUAACGCGUGGAUAACCUGCCUCACACAGGGGGACAACAGCCGGAAACGGCUGCUAAUACCGCAUAACACAAGCAAUUCGCAUGAAUAGCUUGUCAAAGAUUUUAUCGGUGUGAGAUGGAUCCGCGUCUGAUUAGCCAGUUGGCGGGGUAACGGCCCACCAAAGCGACGAUCAGUAGCCGACCUGAGAGGGUGACCGGCCACAUUGGGACUGAGACACGGCCCAAACUCCUACGGGAGGCAGCAGUGGGGAAUAUUGCACAAUGGGGGAAACCCUGAUGCAGCGACGCCGCGUGAGCGAAGAAGUAUUUCGGUAUGUAAAGCUCUAUCAGCAGGGAAGAUAGUGACGGUACCUGACUAAGAAGCUCCGGCUAAAUACGUG